ACUGUGAGUUUGAUUUAUGAGAACUAUAAGUGAACAAUUUAGUUUUGCGGUAAGAUGAACGUGUUCGAAUUAAAUGUGUGGAAAGGUGAUUGGGGCUUACCGACGAUUGACACGGAAUGCUUAGAAGUUUUGGUUUACGCGAAAAUUAGCGGUGUACCUUUGAAAGUAAAAACUUCUAAUCCAUUCCGAACGCCUAACGGCAGAUUACCCGUAUUGAAAACUAACGAUGGUACGUUCGAUACAGUCAAAAAUAUAAUAGAAUAUUUCAGGGGAAAAAAUUAUAACACAGAAUACGAGUUAAGUCGAAAAGAAUGCGCAAACGUUAUGGCUUACGAUGCGAUGUUAAAAGAAAAAUUAUAUCCAGCGUUACAGUUCAUUUGGUGGAUAGAUGAAAGAAAUGUGAACGAAGUGAUAAGACCGUGGUAUUGUAAAGCACUGCCUUUUCCAUUAAACUUUUAUUACCCAGGAAAAUUUGAACGACAAGCACACGUUAUCUUCGAAAGUUUGUACCCUACAGAAGAUGAUAUAAGCGUGAUAGAAAAUAAGGUCUACUCCGAAGCACAGCAGUGCUUGACGUUACUGUCCACAAGUCUGGGGGAGUCUGAUUAUUUUUUGAGUGAGAAACCUACCGUAUUGGACGCAGUUAUAUAUUCCUAUCUAGCACCGUUGCUCAAAGUUCCACUGCCGAAUUCAGCUCUACAGAAUCAUUUGAGAGCUUGUACGAAUUUAGUAUCUUUCAUAUCACGAAUAUCGGAAAGGUAUUUCGGCGACGAAUGUCGCGAGUACAAAGCCAAAGAAAAUGCCAAGAACGUGAAAGAGACGGAGAACGAGUUUCCUAAUAAGAGAAGAAAUCAGUUCCUUGCCGGGAUUUUCGCUACGGUAGUAAUGACGACUUACGUCGUUUCAUCUGGAAUGUUAGAGAAAUGGAGGCUGGUAAGAAUUCCUCUGAAACAUGUAAGGAAGUAAAAAUGAUCGAGCGUUUUUAAUUCGACUAUGGAUUUGUAUUUGAGAUGACAAGAAAUUGCACGCACCGGUCGAAGACAAUGAAAUUUCGAGCGUACCCACAGAAGAUGUACGUACCGACGACGAGUGAGAUAAUAAAUAUCAGGGGAAUUAA
RNA transcript from Ceratina calcarata, 1117 nucleotides. It is a transcript of the gene named metaxin-1, with no coding region annotated. The transcript has 6 exons. The record is from RefSeq and is a predicted model, not a curated record. NCBI's taxonomy places the organism in Eukaryota, Metazoa, Arthropoda, Insecta, Hymenoptera, Apidae.